GCAGGCCCCGCCCCGGCUCCCCGCGCCUGGGGCCCCCACCCAGGUGCGAGGAAGCUAGCACCGCGGGGCUGCGGGCGGAAGUCUGGAGGGCACAGGGACCAGCUGGGUGGUGGCCUGAGGACGGUGGGCACCGGAGUCUGCCGCGCUCUCCACUGGGAAGGCCUCGGGCCAUCAGCCUGAGGUGUAGCCGUCAAAGCCUGGAGGGUGUCCUCGCUCGGCUCGGGAGCCUCCUGCAAACCGUCGCUCGGCGUUCUCCUCGGGGGUCUCUGUGACGUCGCUAAAAGACACCUGCGGCGGGGCCUCGGCCGCAUUUGUGGGCAUUUGUGGUGUUCAGGGUGGACUGGCUGCUGUGGGCCACCUGACCCAGGGCCUCGGGCAUGGCAGUUUUGUUCUAAAUGUGCUCUUGUUAACGAAAUGGAGCACCGCAUACGUUUUCUCCAGAUUCAAUUAAGCAUAUCAGUUAAAUCAAUAUAAAUGUUUUCCCGAGAUUCCUGUCCACGGAAAGAUGCUCUGAUCUUUUUGCCCGGCCACUCCAGUUGUUAACUACAAUACUUGAUGGAGUGUGGAUGCUUGAACCACUUUGCUGGUGUUUUCUUUGCCGCUGGUGGCCGCUGCGCCAGGGAGGAGCGGAGGAUGCAAGCGGCAUUCUACAGGAGAUGGAGCUGAAGAGCCAAGAGCUCUCACACCAUAGAUGGGUUUUUAAAAGACUCAAAAUGGGAGUUGGAGCAGAAGUGCCCAAGGAGGUCAGAAGAGGGCGUGUCCCUGGAUGUUACAGACCAUCGUGAGCUGCCCUGCAACCAUCCGAGGAAAGUAUUACUGCCCUCCCUGUCUUAAGACAGUGAACCUCACAUUGAAUGGUGUUACCCAGUGCCCUCCAUCCUUUGGAGAGAACACACCUCCCCAGAAGCUUCUGCAGACUGUUUUCUGACCCUGCACAGCUUGGACUUACCUCACUUGAGGAGGUGUGGCUUCAUGGCUGAGUUCUGGACAAAGGAAUAUAUAGUCCCCUGCCCGCACACUCAUUUUCUCCGAGCCUGAUGGAGAGUGCCAGAGGUCGGUGCUGAGGCCCUGGAGCAGCACCAAGGGAAAACUCACAGCACACUGUGAUUGGAAAGCCGGAGAUCAACCUGUGUGUGCUGGGCGCCUAAACUGGAGUGGUUCUCGUCUAUCAGCCAGCUUCUAUGGAUACACACCUGGUUGCCCAUCCCAACCUCAGACACUGCGAUUACCAAUAAACCUCCCCUGUUCCAUCACCCCUGCCUUGCCCUUCCUCACCCCUGCCUUGCCCUUCCUCACCCCUGCCUUGCCCUUCCUCACCCCUCCUUGCCUCACACGAUGUAUUUUCAACUCUCUUUCCCUAACACUGCACCCUUAGCUCUGUGUGACCACACUCCCUUAUUUGACCCGGACCUUUAUUAUCUGUUUUUUCCUUCCAUAUCUCCAGCUCCUUGCCCCUGCCUCUUUCCAAACCCGGCAAAGCCUCUCUGCCUGUGCCCAGCUGAGUUUGGACAGGGGUCGUAUUGUUAGGAGGAAGUAGCUCGGAGGACAGUGGACUCGCCUGGCAUGCGAGAAGCCGUUGGUUCAAUCCCCGGCACCACCUAUACUGGCAUGGUGGCUCAUGCCUGUAAUCCUAACCGUCGGGGUGAAAGCAAGAUCAGACAUUCAAGGUCAUCCUCAUCUACACGCAUUUCCAGAAGGAUGUGCAAGGAUUUACUUAACUGGUUCCUCGCGGUGACUGGGGUGUCUCCAGUUUCCUGUCUUCUAAACAGAACUUGGAGCUUGAAAUCAAAUCCAGGACCUCACACAUGCUGGGCAAGCAAGCACUCUACCGCUGACCCACACCCCUGGCUCUGGAAGUGCGGGCCGGGAGAUGGCUGAGCACAAGAGCAGUGCUGUGCUGUAGUGGCCUUUUCUUUUUCUCUGACUUUCUUCUGGGACUCGGCACAGAUUUCUAGUCAUCUGCCACAAUGAAUUGACAAGAGGAGACUCAGAAGGGCCAGUGAUGAAGCUACAGCCCCAGAACAUGUCAACUGUCAAAAAAAAAAAAAAAAAAAAAAAAAACAUUUCGUUGGGGUGGAUUACAGUGCAGAGGUUCAGUCCAUUCUCCUCAUGGUGUGACCUGGUGGCUGUGCAGGCAGACUCGGUGCUGGACAAGUAGCCAAGCGUCCUACAUCUUGACUUGCAGGCAACGGGAAGUGGUCUGAAACACUGGGUGUGGCUUGAGCAUAUAUGAGACCUCAAAGCCCGCCCCCACAGUGACACACUUCCUCUAACAAGGCCACACCUCCCAAUAGUGCCACUCUCUUUGGUGGCCAUUUUCUUUCAAACCAUCACAGAGACCAAGAACACAGUAAGAGGUAGGAUUUGGCCUGUCGGCGGUGGUGGUGCACACCUUUAAUCCCAGCUCUUGGGAGACAGAGACAGGCAGGUCUCUGUGAGUUUGAGGAUAGCCUGGUCUACAGAGCGAGUUCCAGGACAGCCAGAGCUACACAAAGAAACCCUGUCUCAAAGAACAAAAGCAAAAUGAACAAACAAGAAAGGUGGGAUUUGAACUUCUGAUUCUUGAAGCCAUGAGCUUUCCAUUUCCCACUAUUCAUCCCUCCAAUCAGCUGGGUUACUCACCGACAACAAGGACUGUUUGCACGAUUAUUUAUUUAUCUUUUGGAAAUUUAGCCUAG
This is a non-coding RNA of Peromyscus maniculatus bairdii (prairie deer mouse), 2678 nucleotides long. The record is from RefSeq and is a predicted model, not a curated record. Lineage: Eukaryota; Metazoa; Chordata; Mammalia; Rodentia; Cricetidae.